UCCUUGGCAGUCCAGUGGUUAGGAUUCCAUGCUUUCACUGCUGAGGGCCCAGGUUCAAUCCCUGGUCAGGGAA
Molecule: transfer RNA, 73 nt
Filed under: Tursiops truncatus (common bottlenose dolphin)
Lineage: Eukaryota; Metazoa; Chordata; Mammalia; Artiodactyla; Delphinidae
Also listed under: 1 other name
Description: tRNA-Sup (TCA) (tRNA-Sup-TCA-15-1)
Rfam family: tRNA
About the family: Transfer RNA (tRNA) molecules are approximately 80 nucleotides in length. Their secondary structure includes four short double-helical elements and three loops (D, anti-codon, and T loops). Further hydrogen bonds mediate the characteristic L-shaped molecular structure. tRNAs have two regions of fundamental functional importance: the anti-codon, which is responsible for specific mRNA codon recognition, and the 3' end, to which the tRNAs corresponding amino acid is attached (by aminoacyl-tRNA synthetases). tRNAs cope with the degeneracy of the genetic code in two manners: having more than one tRNA (with a specific anti-codon) for a particular amino acid; and 'wobble' base-pairing, i.e. permitting non-standard base-pairing at the 3rd anti-codon position.
Source: Rfam by way of RNAcentral